AAGGUUGAUUAAAAUUUAAUGGUUUUAAUUUAUAUAAAUAUUAAUUAAAUUAUUAAUUUUGUAGUAAGUUUUAUAGAAAAGAGAAUAUAUUUUUAGUUGUAGUACAGAAAUGGAAAAUUGAAAUAACUGAAAAUGAAAUUUUGAAAUAGUAGUAUUUAAAUGGCGUACCUUUUGUAUUAGGGUUUUAUUAUUUAAAAUAAAUAUUUAUUUUUCCCGAAAUAUAAGGGAUUUAUUGCAAUAAAUUUAUUAACGUGGUAUAGUUAUUAGAAAUAUUGAAAUUGUAAUGAAAAAUUAAACGUCCUAUAUUAUAUCUGGUUAUUCAAGAAAUGAAUUUAAUUCUUUUUUGUUUGUAACUUUAUUACAAAUUUUUGUAAAUAGCUUCACAGCAUCAGCAAAUGGUUGAGGGAUAAUCUUCAAUCAAUAAUUUAAAUUUUAAAUUGAUUAAAGUUAAUUUAGGAUUAGAAACUUCCAUAAUAAAGAUAGCGUUUUAGUUAAUAUUUAGUUGUUACAAAAUUUAAUUUAAUUUUAAAUAAUUAUUGAAUUAUUAAUAAUAAAAAUUUAUAUUAAUUAAUAAUGUAAAAAUUAGUAUAUUUUAUUAUUUAAAAAAUUUAAUGCUUAAAAAUUUUUUAAAAGGAAUUCGGCAAAAUUUUUCUUUGCCUGUUUAACAAAAACAUGGCCUUUUGCUUUUAUAUAAGAUCUGACCUGCCCACUGAAGCUUAAAGGGCCGCGGUAUUUUGACCGUGCAAAGGUAGCAUAAUAAUUUGUCUUUUAAUUGGAGGCUGGAAUGAAAGGUUUGACAUAAGAAAGACUGUCUCUUGAUUAAAAAUUUAAAAUUUAACUUUUGAGUGAAAAGGCUUAAACAUAAAAUGAUUCCAUAGGACAAAAAGACCCUAUAGAUCUUAACAUAAAUUUUAAAUUUUAAAUUUAGUAGUUUUAGUUUAAAAUUUAAUUAUAUGUUUUGUUGGGGCGACACAAAGAGAUUAUAAUCUCUUUGAAUUUUAGUUAUAAAUAUAAUUAUAACUUUUGAUUGAUCCAAAAUUUUUGAUUAAUAGACAAAGUUACCUUAGGGAUAACAGCGUAAUCCUUUUUGAGAGUUCAUAUCGACAAAAGGGAUUGCGACCUCGAUGUUGGAUUAAGAUUCCUUUGAUUUGGUGUAGCCGCUAAAUAAAGGAGGUCUGUUCGACCUUUAAAUUCUUACAUGAUCUGAGUUCAAACCGGCGUAAGCCAGGUUGGUUUAUAUCCUUGGAUAAAAUUCUUAUUUUUUUAGUACGAAAGGACCAAAUUAUAAAAAUAUUUUUAGCAAAAAUGAUUUCCAUUAAUU
RNAcentral lists this ribosomal RNA (1321 nucleotides) under Songmachilis xinxiangensis. RNAcentral's name for it is "16S ribosomal RNA". The stretch from base 873 to 1246 matches the Rfam family "Bacterial large subunit ribosomal RNA", at positions 2073 to 2647 of the family's 2925-position model. The record is from RNAcentral. Lineage: Eukaryota; Metazoa; Arthropoda; Insecta; Archaeognatha; Machilidae.